Molecule: ribosomal RNA, 1078 nt
Filed under: Salmonella enterica
Lineage: Bacteria; Pseudomonadati; Pseudomonadota; Gammaproteobacteria; Enterobacterales; Enterobacteriaceae
Also listed under: 1 other name
Description: partial 23S ribosomal RNA
Rfam family: Bacterial large subunit ribosomal RNA
Source: RNAcentral
AGACCCGAAACCCGGUGAUCUAGCCAUGGGCAGGUUGAAGGUUGGGUAACACUAACUGGAGGACCGAACCGACUAAUGUUGAAAAAUUAGCGGAUGACCUGUGGCUGGGGGUGAAAGGCCAAUCAAACCGGGAGAUAGCUGGUUCUCCCCGAAAGCUAUUUAGGUAGCGCCUCGUGAAUUCAUCUCCGGGGGUAGAGCACUGUUUCGGCUAGGGGGCCAUCCCGGCUUACCAACCCGAUGCAAACUGCGAAUACCGGAGAAUGUUAUCACGGGAGACACACGGCGGGUGCUAACGUCCGUCGUGAAGAGGGAAACAACCCAGACCGCCAGCUAAGGUCCCAAAGUCAUGGUUAAGUGGGAAACGAUGUGGGAAGGCCCAGACAGCCAGGAUGUUGGCUUAGAAGCAGCCAUCAUUUAAAGAAAGCGUAAUAGCUCACUGGUCGAGUCGGCCUGCGCGGAAGAUGUAACGGGGCUAAACCAUGCACCGAAGCUGCGGCAGCGACACUGUGUGUUGUUGGGUAGGGGAGCGUUCUGUAAGCCUGUGAAGGUGUGUCGUGAGGCAUGCUGGAGGUAUCAGAAGUGCGAAUGCUGACAUAAGUAACGAUAAAGCGGGUGAAAAGCCCGCUCGCCGGAAGACCAAGGGUUCCUGUCCAACGUUAAUCGGGGCAGGGUGAGUCGACCCCUAAGGCGAGGCCGAAAGGCGUAGUCGAUGGGAAACGGGUUAAUAUUCCCGUACUUGGUGUUACUGCGAAGGGGGGACGGAGAAGGCUAUGUUGGCCGGGCGACGGUUGUCCCGGUUUAAGCGUGUAGGUGUGUGUUCCAGGUAAAUCCGGUUCACUUUAACACUGAGGCGUGACGACGAGGCACUACGGUGCUGAAGCAACAAAUGCCCUGCUUCCAGGAAAAGCCUCUAAGCAUCAGGUAACAUCAAAUCGUACCCCAAACCGACACAGGUGGUCAGGUAGAGAAUACCAAGGCGCUUGAGAGAACUCGGGUGAAGGAACUAGGCAAAAUGGUGCCGUAACUUCGGGAGAAGGCACGCUGACACGUAGGUGAAGUGAUUUACUCAUGGAGCUGA